RNAcentral lists this ribosomal RNA (468 nucleotides) under uncultured bacterium. Its description in RNAcentral is "partial 16S ribosomal RNA". It matches the Rfam family "Bacterial small subunit ribosomal RNA", at positions 28 to 507 of the family's 1533-position model. The record is from RNAcentral.
GACGAACGCUGGCGGCGUGCUUAACACAUGCAAGUCGAACGGAAAGGCCCUGCUCUUGUGGGGUGCUCGAGUGGCGAACGGGUGAGUAACACGUGAGUAACCUGUCCUUGACUUUGGGAUAACUUCAGGAAACUGGGGCUAAUAUCGGAUAGGAGCUCCUGCUGCAUGGUGGGGGUUGGAAAGUUUCGGCGGUUGGGGAUGGACUCGCGGCUUAUCCGCUUGUUGGUGGGGUAGUGGCUUACCAGGGCUUCGACGGGUAGCCGGCCUGAGAAGGUGACCGGCCACAUUGGGACUGAGGUACGGCCCAGACUGCUACGGGAGGCAGCAGUGGGGAAUAUUGCACAGUGGGGGGAAGCCUGAUGCAGCGGCGCCGCGUGCGGGAUGACGGCCUUCGGGUUGUAAACCGCUUUCGCCUGUGACGAAGCGGGAGUGACGGUAAUGGGUAAAGAAGCACCGGCUAACUACGUG